Molecule: ribosomal RNA, 292 nt
Filed under: uncultured bacterium
Lineage: Bacteria
Description: partial 16S ribosomal RNA
Rfam family: Bacterial small subunit ribosomal RNA
Source: RNAcentral
GUGCCAGCAGCCGCGGUAAUACGGAGGGUGCAAGCGUUAUCCGGAUUUACUGGGUUUAAAGGGUGCGUAGGCGGGCUUUUAAGUCAGUGGUGAAAUCUCCGAGCUCAACUCGGAAAUUGCCAUUGAUACUAUUAGUCUUGAAUUAAGUUGAGGUGGGCGGAAUGUGUCAUGUAGCGGUGAAAUGCUUAGAUAUGACACAGAACACCGAUUGCGAAGGCAGCUCGCUAAACUUAUAUUGACGCUGAGGCACGAAAGCGUGGGGAUCAAACAGGAUUAGAAACCCUCGUAGUCC